Long non-coding RNA from Amphiprion ocellaris (clown anemonefish), 1744 nucleotides. NCBI's taxonomy places the organism in Eukaryota, Metazoa, Chordata, Actinopteri, Pomacentridae. The record is from Ensembl.
CUUGCUUACAGUGAGCACAACAGCAGCAGCGAUAGCAGUAAUGCCGAAGCUGACACAGGAAUCCACUAGAUGUCUCUGGAGCUUGUUCAGUUUCUCCUUCAUUAAUCUGCUCUUGAUUGAUUUUGGUUGAAGCUUGUUGUAAUACCUGGACUGUUGGAUGGCCUGCGAAAAUGUCUAUCUGAUGUUUUUGAUUUGUCUUGUUGCUAGUUGUCAGUGUCACUUUUUCUCUAAUGUGGAGUUUCUCAAAUUGACUGAACAUACACAUUUUAAGUUGUUGGAGCUCUAAGUAUUUUUCAUUGAGAGAUUUGUGGUCUCCAUUCCAAUCAUUUUGAGAUAAUGUGUCCUCACUUUGAUCUUUUUCCAGCUUUGUCUUCUUUGGUGUCUUUCCUUUCUGUGACAAUGUUUUCUUUACAAACUGAUUGAUUACCUUUAGUCUUUUCUCCAGAUUGUUUCUCAUAUCAUGAGCACUGCACUUCAUAUGACUGAUCUCCUUUUGUUCAACUCUGGUACCCUUCCAGAUCUUUCUCAAACACUCUCUAUUUAACAUUUGCUGUUCUGUAAAGUCAUCUAUCUCUGCAGAUAACUCAGACACUUUUGCAAGUUUCUGUAUCUCGACAUUGAUCACUUCUUUACCUUCUGCUCUGAUCAGAACACCUUCCCUUUCAGGUUUCAGGGAGACAGCUGUUCCUCUAAGGUCACCUUGACCUCGACCAGAUUUCUGCUGAUGUUCCCAUUUGUCAGUCUGAGUCACGCAAGGUGAUUGCUGAACAUCCUUCUUACAUUCAGAUUCUUUAAAUUCUCUCAAGUCCAGCCUUUCACCAUCGUGUUCAUGCAAGCAUUCUUGUACUGCAGCCACAGUUUGAACUGCUUUGUGUAGCUUUCCUUUCAACAUAUAUGUCUUUUCGCAUUGUAUCUGACAAUAAUAAGAAGUGAUCAGAUUAAUCAGCUGAUCAAUUUCAGCACACUUGUGUCCCAAUGUAGUGAGUAGCUUUAGUAUGGUUCUACUUUUGUGCUCAAAUCUGUCAAUAUUCAUACAAGACACUUUAUAUGUCUUUUGAUUGAGAAGUUCUAGUAUGCUUCUCAAAUGUACAAUUGUGUUAAGGACAAUGCAAAAUUGGUCCUGUGUAAUUAUGAUCUCAGAGCGUGUUUCUUUCAUCUCCUCACGUUCAUUUAAAAACAUUUCUUUCACAGGGUCAAUGCAUUUCAUCAUUUGACAUGUUAUUUUGUUUUUUGGGGUUGUCUCAGGAGGAUAAUUUUUUUCUUGGGUGGUUGUAAGUUCAGCCAUCGUGAUUUCUAACGUGUCCAAUGUGAAACUCUUCUUCUGAACUUCUGAUUUGUCUCCUUCGAAUAGCACUUUCUUCUUGGUACUUUCCAGUUCUUGUGGUUGUUUGUUGACAUCAGCAUUCUUGAAUUCAUGUUGUUUUUGUUUCAGUGCCAUCAUCUUCAUCAUUUCCUCCAGGCUCCUCUGAUUUGUUUGUAGCUGGAGGUUGAGGUCAUUCAUUUUGGUCUUCUCUCUGUUGAUUUCAUCAAACAAGUUGUCUGCAUGUUCUUUCUUCUCUUGUAGCUCAGCCAUUGUGAUCUCCAACACAUUCUUUUCAUCUUUCAUAUCUUGUUUCUCUUGUUUUAAUGUGUCAGAUUGUUUGAGGAUUUCCGAUCUCAUCAGCUCCAAGUCCACUUUCUCUUUGUUCAUCAUUUCACUGGCUUUAUUCAGAUGCUCUCUCUCUUCUUUCAACUCUGCUUUCAG